Homo sapiens (human) is the source of this 5054-nucleotide long non-coding RNA. RefSeq lists it as uncharacterized. The record is from RefSeq and is a predicted model, not a curated record. The transcript is spliced from 3 exons. Lineage: Eukaryota; Metazoa; Chordata; Mammalia; Primates; Hominidae.
AGAAAUUAAUAGGCACAACCCCAAGGCACAAGAUAUGCAGCCUCCUCAUUGCUUGUCUCUUGCCCACUCACACACAUAGAGUAGCAUGUUAUGGCACUUACACUAAUAAAGCCACUGCUAUCAAAGUUCUGGACUUGAUUUCCAGCAGUAUUAGCUCUGUUUUACCCUCAAGCUUCUGGGUUAGUGGGUUAUUGCUCACCAAAGAAGUUCUGGUUGGAAGAAGAGGUAAGAUAUCUCCAGAGCCGCUGAGAAGAAUGAGUAAGGUAAAACUGGUGGCAUUCCUGACUGAAUACCCUUCACUCACAGGAGGCAGUGUGGAACAGUGGGAAUGAGGAGUGCUAUGGGACUUUGUAUAUCUGGUCUGGAAGCCUGUUUCUGGUACGUACAGCUAGGUGAGUUGGGCAAAUUACUUAAACGGUCCAGAUCUCAAUUUUAUUAACUAUGAAAUCACGUAAUAAGAUCUAACUUGAAAGGUUGUUAGUAUCAAGGCUAAUAUAACCCUUUGGUUGUUAUAAUGAAUAAUAGAUAAGUAUUAUUCUUACUACUAUUUAUUUUUUGGAAAAAUCUAUAUUAUUAAUUUUUCGAUUCUAUGAGAACCAGUAAAGAACAUUUAUGAAUAGAAUUACUUGUGUAAGAGUUCAGCCUGCUGGGAAUCAUUUGUAAUCCUUUAUCCUUUAAACACUCUUAGUAGUACCAUGCCAACGUUAGCAUAAAAUCAUCAUUCUUCCACAUGAAUUUUUGGGCCAUUUUUGGCUCUUAUCCUUAACUGAACAGCAGAGAGGCCCUUAACCUGCCUUUUCUAAUGUCAUUAUUCUUCCUUAACAGGCUUUCCAGUUUGUUGUACCUACCUUAGCCAGACCGUAGGAACUUUUUAAUCCAUUUGAUGUCUUAGUAAGAUCUGAUGAUGAUCAUCCUAAAAAUCUGCCCUCUCUUGAUAACUGAGACAUUGCCUUGGCAUUUUACUGAAUUCUAUCAAUUCUACUUCUUUAUUUAAAGAUGGUGUUAUGAGCAUUUAAUGUAAAGAUCUUAUCGUAGUCACUGGCUCAGAAUAAUUGCUCAAAAACUGGCAUAUAUUACUAUUAUGACAUCAUCAUCAUUAUCAUCAUCACUUAAUUUCUUGGUUGGUUUUUCUUCUUCCUGACCUAUAGUAGUAAUGGCCUUCCAAGUAUCCAUUCUUGAUCUUUUAGUCUUUGUCCACUCCCUCCUUUUUAUGAAAAUCACCCACUCAAGUAAGUUGGACUAUCUUAUCUAACCUAACUCUCUAGCCUCAAAUACUUACUAAGGUUUCAGUUUUCAUUUCUAUCUGCUUAAAAGAUCUUUACACAAAUAGGAUAUUCUUUCACCAUCACAAAUGGAAUAUGUGCGCACUCACCUAGUUGCUCUUCCAAAGUGCUUUAUCUGCUUGCAUGCUUGCUUACCACCCCCAGCUAACUUGGCUAUCUUCGGGUAAUCCUGCUCCUAUCUCUGUCAAAAGACACCAAGACAGUAUUUUUCUUGCAUUUGUCUUUUCAUCUUUAGCGAAUCAAUACCAUUGUCUUCUAAUUGCCUCCUAAUGGAACCUUAAUCUGCCAUGAAACCUAAGUCCAAUUCUUCACUGAUACUCUUAUAAGAAUGAUUUCUAAUGUCUUUUUUUAAUUUGCUUGUUUGUUUCAGAGCUUACAAACCUCCCUUAUGCUGUUCAUUUUACAUUUAAGUAUAUCUAUGUAGUUUCCAGAUUAAUAAUGUCUGAAACAUUUAUCUAUCCCAACUUUUUCCCCCUACAACUACUCUGUAUUAAUGUAGUUUCAAUCAGUCUGGAUCCUACCGUGCCAGCUUAAAAUCAGAAUGAGUAACUAUUGAUUCUAGAACACUGGCCCAUGCUUUGACUCCUUAUGUGGAAAUUCUUCCACAUAUUCUCUUUACCUAUCUAUGUUUUGUGUUUCCUUCAAGACAGCUAAAUAUUCAUUGUUUUAUAAAGCUUUUCCUUGAGAGUAUGGUUAAUUUUGCCUCUCUCUUUUCUAAUUAUCACACCUUGUUAAGUACAACAUAGGUUCAUUGUAUGCUAUCUCUAAUUAUAGCAUCAUCUGGGGUAAAUGCUUUUAUGGCCUUAUAAAAUGUACUUUUGGUUACUCCCCAAAUAUUCUUAAUUAUCUCUCUCUUCUUUGUAAUUCUCUGUGCCAAAAUUCAGGCAUACCAAAGUUCAGGUUCUUUUAAUUAUUUUCAAGAACUAUCACCUCUGGCCUCUUCAUAUUCAGUAUUUGCUUUUCCUCGAAUCCAUCCUGAAUGCUAUUGACAAGUUUAUGUUUCCAAAGCUAAAAUCACGUCAUUUAAAAAACCUGUUUAUAACAAAAGCGACAUUCAUAGUGGUCUCUUACCUGUUUAGUAAAUAUUCCCUUUGGUUGUGAACCCUGGAUCUUUCUUUAUUGUCCUCCAAAUAUCUAAAAUAACUAUGCCAAUUGUCCCAAUCUCUAACUCCUGGAAUUCCAUUAUUCAAAAUCAUGUGUCAGCAGGCUUUUCUAGAUUUUUUAAAUUUUAUCCUUUAACAUUCUCUGCUUCUGGGAUUUGGUCUUUGAUUUUUCCUUAGUUACACUUCUUGUUUAGCCAUCCGAACUCUUAAAUCAGGAUCAAUUACAAUUGCCUCAUAAGAAUACUUGAUUUCCAAUAAUAUCCCACCUCAGUUCUUCCUAAAUUCUACUGAAGUAAUGAUUAUGCCAAAUAAGACCUUUUUGAUUCUCUUAUUUUAUUUCCCAUCCUGCUUGGCUUCAAUGCUUGUUUGAUUGUCUGUCUUUUGCAUCCUGUUGGGCCAUGAAAAACUCAGUCUAUGCUUUCGUCAUGAUCUAUUGCCACAGAAGAUGGAGAUGUACUGUUCAAACUAUGAGAAUUAAAUAUAUCAUCAUUAUCAUCAUUGCAUAUUUUCCACACAAAUGAAUUAUAUGAGUUCUCUUAAUACUCUAGGUAGCUGCAAUUAAAUAAUUUCAUCACUAGAAAACAUAUUAUAGAUCAACAUACCCAUUGUUACUUACAAUAAGGCAAUCUCUUUAAAAAUGUUUGUUGAGCUCCAGAUACUGUGCUAAGUAUUAAGAGCAUAAUGAUAAACAUGACAAAUUUCCCGUUGCUGAAGAGCUUUAUAUAGAGUGAAGGAGACAUAGAGCUAUUAUGCUAUAUGAUAACAUCAAAAUGCAUUCAAAAACAGGAAGGUUGAAGGAAAAGUCACGGAAAAGACAGACAACAGAUGAAGGAGAGAGGAGUAGAUGAAAUAUUGCUGUGAGUGUGACCAUGAAGGAUGGGAUCUCUUCAUUACGAUGACGUUUGCUGUGGAUGAUAAAAAAUAUAUAUUUUUAAAGUUCUCCUAAAAAUAAAGUUCUCCUAAAUUUUGUAUUUUAUCUUAUAAAAAUUUCUCUGCUAUGCUCAUAUGCUGUAUCCCCAUGCAUAUUUUGAAGAUAUAAUUCUAACUCCCCUCAUUUCAAUUAGAUUUGCUUCUUUUGAACACAUGAUAAGCUUUCAUUUUCAUAUUCUACUCGUUAAGUUCCUUCGUCAGCUUCUGAAAUUGAAAGCAUUCAUAAUUAUAAGCUUACUUUGUGGCUUAGAUGGCAAGGAUGGGCAUUUUUCAAAUUAAAAAAAUCAUCUGCCUGGAUAAAUAUCAAACCUAGAAUUCAAUCUCUAAAUUACAGGCUGUUUGCAAAUCGCUGCAUGCCUGUGUGUUCCUCUCUCUAACUAACACCUUUCAUGGAUGGCAUAUGUUUUCCUCUGAAAAUGAAAUAGAUAGAAUGGAUGUUUGAACCCACUGAAUGGAAUGAAUCUGUGAAGAUGGUAUGUUUCAUGGGUCAGGACUACCCAGAUAUUCUAGUGUUCAUUUGAGAUCUCAGUUACCUUCUUGAAUAAGUAAGUAGGUACUAAAGUGAAAUUUUGAGAUGAGAGUCAAAAUUUUGAGAUGAGAGUCACGCCAGCUGGCCUGGAUAUGAAUCCCAACUUUGCCUCUUACCAACGGUGUGAUUUUGUGCAAAAGAGUUAAACACUCUGCCACUAUAUAGUAUGCCUACCUAAUAGACUUUUAAGAUUUAAUGAGUUAGUAACACCUAUAUUCUGACUCCUAAUAAUAAUUUAAUACCUUCAAAAUACUUUUAUUGUGUUCACUUUUCAAGUUCCUGUUCACUAGAUUUAUUACUCAGAUUUUUCUUCCAUCAGUACAUAGGUAUCUGGAGCUAUAAAUAGUUUUCCUGAGUUUUUCUUAGUUCUUUCUUCCUGAGAAUUAACUGACACAUUUAGAGCAAUGAAUACAUCAAUAUUCCAUAGUUCUGUCAGUAAAAUUGGUUUAUUUUUACCUUCCACAGACCAUCUUAUGGCCUAUUUUCUUUCACUCUCUAAGUAAAAUGUUAACUUUUGCUUAAAGUCUAUUAACUUAUUUAUGAUAGUAGUUAUUAUUUACACUAGAGUCUUUAUUUAAAUCUCCUUAUUUCUCUCUCUUGAUGAAUUGAAUGAAUUGCCUGAAGGAGUGUAGGUUGUCUUCUCUGUAUGGUUCAUGUAGAUCAUAAGAAACUUUGACUGAAUAAAUUUAGAAGCAGCAAGGAAGUCACAUUUAGUCUUGCAUAACAAAUAACAAGUCAUGGUUCUGCAGUUGGAAACCCUUUGGCAUGGACCAGAUAACUUGCCAAAGGAAAAAAAUUAAGUUUCAUAUUUUCCUUGAAUGGCUCAGAAAAAAUAUAUAUCUAAGUACUGAAAUUCUGCUGUCAUAUAAACUUAGACAUAAAUGAAAAAAUGUACAUUUCACUUGGAACAUUCUAAGUUGUUAAUAUAUAAAAAGAUACUUAAAGUUUUUUCCUUAUUACUGCAGCUCACUAAAGCAUACCUAUCUCCUCUCUCCAAGAAAAAUAUUUUCAUCAAAAAAGGUUUAACAAAAAUGCUGUAGGAUGGCAGCAUUUUCACGUAAUGUGCCAACUCCAUCCCUGUCUUGUAAGCUCAGAUGUUUACAGUGCGGUAAUCAUAUUAAACCACAACUCAUAAAGUGAAAGAGCUAACGGAAAAUCUCACUUGUAUUUCUGAAACAAGCCAACUGUUUACACUUACAUUUUUAAAUU